This 253-nucleotide ribosomal RNA is filed under the name uncultured bacterium. RNAcentral describes it as "partial 16S ribosomal RNA". It matches the Rfam family "Bacterial small subunit ribosomal RNA", at positions 524 to 776 of the family's 1533-position model. The record is from RNAcentral.
UACAGAGGUCUCAAGCGUUGUUCGGAUUCAUUGGGCGUAAAGGGUGUGUAGGUGGCGCCGUAAGUCGGGUGUGAAAUUUCGGAGCUUAACUCCGAAACUGCAUUCGAUACUGCGGUGCUUGAGGAUUGGAGAGGAGACUGGAAUUCAUGGUGUAGCAGUGAAAUGCGUAGAGAUCAUGAGGAAGACCAGUGGCGAAGGCGGGUCUCUGGACAGUUCCUGACACUGAGACACGAAGGCCAGGGGAGCAAACGGG